This 407-nucleotide ribosomal RNA is filed under the name uncultured bacterium. RNAcentral describes it as "bacterial SSU rRNA". It matches the Rfam family "Bacterial small subunit ribosomal RNA", at positions 355 to 775 of the family's 1533-position model. The record is from RNAcentral.
UCGAGAAUUUUUCUCAAUGGGGGAAACCCUGAAGGAGCGACGCCGCGUGGAGGAUGAAGGCUUUCGGGUUGUAAACUCCUUUUGUUGGGGAAGAACACAAUGACGGUACCCAACGAAUAAGCUCCGGCUAACUCCGUGCCAGCAGCCGCGGUAAUACGGAGGGAGCGAGCGUUGUCCGAAGUUACUGGGCGUAAAGCGCGCGUAGGCGGGAAAUUAAGUGAGAAGUGAAAGGCUGGGGCUUAACCCCAUGCAGUGCUCCUCAUACUGGUUUUCUUGAGGGUGGUAGAGAGAAGUGGAAUGGCUGGUGUAGCGGUGAAAUGCGUAGAUAUCAGUCGGAACACCAGUGGCGAAGGCGGCUUCUUGGGCCAUUACUGACGCUGAGGCGCGAAAGCCAGGGGAGCGAACGG